Molecule: ribosomal RNA, 119 nt
Filed under: Pteropus alecto (black flying fox)
Lineage: Eukaryota; Metazoa; Chordata; Mammalia; Chiroptera; Pteropodidae
Source: RNAcentral
GUUUAUUGCCAUGCUACCCUGAACAAGCCCAAUUCUCUCAGAUUUCAGAAGCUAUGCAGGGUCAGGCCUGCUUAGUACUUCGAUGGGAGACCACCUAGGAAGACCAGGUGCUGUAGGCG